Molecule: ribosomal RNA, 497 nt
Filed under: uncultured bacterium
Lineage: Bacteria
Description: partial 16S ribosomal RNA
Rfam family: Bacterial small subunit ribosomal RNA
Source: RNAcentral
AUUGAACGCUGGCGGCAUGCCUAACACAUGCAAGUCGAACGUGAAAGAGGGGCUACUCUCGAGUAAAGUGGCGGACGGGUGAGUUAUACGUAGGAAACUGCCCUAGAGUGGGGGAUAACCUGCCGAAAGGCGGGAUAAUACCGCAUAAUGUCUACGGAAAAAAGGUGGCUAACAAUAAGCUUCGCAGUAUGAUGAGCCUCCGUCGGAUUAGCUAGUUGGUAGAGUAAUGGCCUUCCAUGGCAACAAUCCGUAGCUGGUCGGAGAGGACGAUCAGCCACACUGGAAAUGAGACACGGUCCAGACUCCUACGGGAGGCAGCAGUGGGGAAUAUUGGACAAUGGGGGCAACCCUGAUCCAGCAAUGCCGCGUGUGCGAUGAAGGCCUGCGGGUUGUAAAGCACUUUCGGUGGAGAAGAAAUGCUCAAAUAUAAUACAUUUGAGAGAUGACGUUACCCACAGAAGAAGCACCGGCAAACUCUGUGCCAGCAGCCGCGGUAA